AAUAAACGCUGGCGGCGUGCUUAACACAUGCAAGUCGAACGAGAAAGUUUUAGCUUGCUAAAACGAGUAAAGUGGCGCACGGGUGAGUAACGCGUGGGUAAUUUCCCCUUGAAUUUGGAAUAACGUUGCGAAAGCGACGCUAAUACUGAAUGACAUAUUUUUUUCUGCGGAAAGAGAUAUCAAAGAGAGCCUCUACAUGUAAGCUUUCGUUUGAGGAUAAGCCCGCGUACCAUUAGCUUGUUGGUAGGGUAAUGGCCUACCAAGGCUACGAUGGUUAGCUGGUCUGAGAGGAUGAUCAGCCACACUGGAACUGACACACGGUCCAGACUCCUACGGGAGGCAGCAGUGAGGAAUUUUGCGCAAUGGGCGAAAGCCUGACGCAGCAACGCCGCGUGAGUGAUGAAGGCCUUAGGGUCGUAAAGCUCUGUC
Molecule: ribosomal RNA, 429 nt
Filed under: uncultured bacterium
Lineage: Bacteria
Description: bacterial SSU rRNA
Rfam family: Bacterial small subunit ribosomal RNA
Source: RNAcentral